RNAcentral lists this transfer RNA (82 nucleotides) under Candida albicans WO-1. RNAcentral describes it as "tRNA-Ser (CGA) (tRNA-Ser-CGA-1-1)". It matches the Rfam family "tRNA". From Rfam's summary of the family: Transfer RNA (tRNA) molecules are approximately 80 nucleotides in length. The record is from RNAcentral. Lineage: Eukaryota; Fungi; Ascomycota; Pichiomycetes; Serinales; Debaryomycetaceae. RNAcentral also lists the same sequence under 12 other names.
GACAGUGUGGCCGAGCGGUUAAGGCGUCUGACUCGAAAUCAGUUGGGCUUUGCCCGCGCAGGUUCGAAUCCUGCUGCUGUCG